Molecule: ribosomal RNA, 257 nt
Filed under: uncultured bacterium
Lineage: Bacteria
Description: partial 16S ribosomal RNA
Rfam family: Bacterial small subunit ribosomal RNA
Source: RNAcentral
UACAGAGACCUCAAGCGUUAUCCGGAAUCAUUGGGCGUAAAGCGUACCGAUAGGUGGUUAUACAAGUCAGAUGUGAAAUCUCCGAGCUCAACUCGGAAUCUGUCUUUUGAAACUGUAUGACUAGAGGGGCAAAGAGGAAGCUGGAACGAACGGUGUAGUAGUGAAAUGCGUUGAUAUCGUUCGGAACACCAAUAGCGAAGGCGGGCUUCUGGGUGCCACCUGACACUGCUAGGACGAAAGCGUGGGGAGCGAAUGGG